AUUGAACGCUGGCGGCAUGCCUUACACAUGCAAGUCGAACGGCAGCACGGGUGCUUGCACCUGGUGGCGAGAGGCGAACGGGUGAGUAAUACAUCGGAACGUACCUUAUCGUGGGGAAUAACGCAGCGAAAGCUGUGCUAAUACCGCAUACGCCCUGAGGGGGAAAGCGGGGGAUCGAAAGACCUCGCGCGAUUAGAGCGGCCGAUGCCUGAUUAGCUUGUUGGUGGGGUAAAAGCCCACCAAGGCGACGAUCAGUAGCUGGUCUGAGAGGACGAUCAGCCACACUGGGACUAAGACACGGCCCAGACUCCUACGGGAGGCAGCAGUGGGGAAUUUUGGACAAUGGUGGCAACCCUGAUCCAGCAAUGCCGCGUGAGUGAAGAAGGCCUUCGGGUUGUAAAGCUCUUUUGUCAGGGAAGAAACACCGGCUCUAACACAGUCCGGGAAUGACGGUACCUGAAGAAUAAGCACCGGCUAACUACGUGCCAGCCGCCGCCGUAA
This 501-nucleotide ribosomal RNA is filed under the name uncultured bacterium. RNAcentral's name for it is "partial 16S ribosomal RNA". It matches the Rfam family "Bacterial small subunit ribosomal RNA", at positions 30 to 523 of the family's 1533-position model. The record is from RNAcentral.